UACGUAGGGUGCAAGCGUUAAUCGGAAUUACUGGGCGUAAAGCGUGCGCAGGCGGUUGUGCAAGACAGAUGUGAAAUCCCCGGGCUUAACCUGGGAAUUGCAUUUGUGACUGCACGGCUAGAGUGUGUCAGAGGGGGGUAGAAUUCCACGUGUAGCAGUGAAAUGCGUAGAUAUGUGGAGGAAUACCGAUGGCGAAGGCGGCCCCCUGGGAUAACACUGACGCUCAUGCACGAAAGCGUGGGGAGCAAACAGG
RNAcentral lists this ribosomal RNA (253 nucleotides) under uncultured bacterium. Its description in RNAcentral is "partial 16S ribosomal RNA". It matches the Rfam family "Bacterial small subunit ribosomal RNA", at positions 524 to 776 of the family's 1533-position model. The record is from RNAcentral.